GACGAACGCUGGCGGCGUGCUUAAUGAAUGCGAGUCGAGCGAGAACCGGACUGAGGAAACCUUCGGGUGGAAUCAGUCUGGGGAGAGCGGCAAACGGGUGAGUAACACGUGGGUAACCUGCCCCCCAGACGGGGAUAAUUCGCCGAAAGGCGGACUAAUACCCGAUGGUGAUGUGCCAACACAUGUUGAUACAUCUAAAGGCUCCGGUGCUGAGGGAGGGGUCCGCGGCCGAUUAGCUUGUUGGUAGGGUAACGGCCUACCAAGGCUUCGAUCGGUAGCCGGUCUGAGAGGAUGACCGGUCACACUGGGACUGAGACAUGGUCCAGACUCCUACGGGAGUUAGCAUCAGGGAAUCUUGCGCAAUGGGCGAAAGCCUGACGCAGCGACGCCGCGUGGGUGGUGAAGGCCUGCGGGUCGUAAAGCCCUGUCGGGAGGGAAGAAACAGCACCUUCGGGUGCUUUGACUGUACCUCCGGAGGAAGCCCCGGCUAAUUACGUGCCAGCAGCCGCGGUAAUACGUAAGGGGCCAGCGUUGUCCGGAAUUACUGGGCGUAAAGAGCACGUAGGCGGUUAGGAAAGCGAUAGGUGAAAUCCCCCGGCUCAACCGAGGAACUGCUUAUCGAACUGCCUGACUAGAGCACGGGAGAGGGCACUGGAAUUCCUGGUGUAGCGGUGGAAUGCGUAUAUAUCAGGAGGAACACCGGUGGCGAAGGCUGGUGCCUGGAACGUUGCUGACGCUAAGGUGCGAAAGCCAGGGGAACAAACGGGAUUAGAUACCCCGGUAGUCCUGGCCGUAAACGAUGGACACUAGKKGUKGRAGGUYCRMCCCCUYCRKKGYKGUUAASYUAMSSSGUUARKKKUCCSGCCKGGGRAKWMCGGYCSCAAGGYKRAAMYYCAAAGGAAUKRMCGGGG
This 911-nucleotide ribosomal RNA is filed under the name uncultured bacterium. RNAcentral's name for it is "partial 16S ribosomal RNA". It matches the Rfam family "Bacterial small subunit ribosomal RNA", at positions 28 to 918 of the family's 1533-position model. The record is from RNAcentral.